GGCCCUGGUGUCCUCAAAUGAGAACAAGACAUUAAAGCCGUGAGUUGCUCCAUAAACAAGCAAAACGAAUAAAAAACAGAAACCCAAAAAACUCAGCAGGCAUCUCCAUCGCCAUGGACAUCAGUUCUCGUGCGCUCGCGUUUGCCUAAGCAGCGGCAAGAAACAACAAAGAUGAAAGACGACAACGUCGAAGCUGGACCAAGUAGGCGCCGGAAUGAAACCUCACUUCCUCUACUCAGCGACUAGGGCCCGCAGGUCUUGAUUUGUGCCUCUCGAAGACGCAGAUGAAAUGUUCGCCCAACUUGAUAAUGGAAAUUUAUCAGACGUUGGGGAGAAUGAAGAAUAUGACGAAGAUGACGACUUCAUUCCUGAAGAAACAGGAAGCGAUGACUGCUUCCUCGAUUCGUCAGAAACUUCUGGAUAAUCAGAUGAAGAGCAACCGUGUAAUGAAAUGUCAUGGUCCAGAAGAGCCUUUGACAAAUCAUCUGCUGAUUUUAGUGGAGUUUGUGACGAAAAUGAGCAUUGUCUUGACGAGCUUCCAACUCCGUACGAAUAUUUCUCGCGCUACGUGCCAAAGAACGUCUUUGUUGAGCUGGCUAACAAAACAAACUUGUAUUUUGUGUUCAAAGAAGGAAAAUCGGUCCAAACGAAUGAAGAAGAAAUAAGGAAGCUUAUUUCUCUACGCUUAAUAAUGGGUGUCGUUAAAUACCCCCGUCUGCGCUUAUAAUAGAAGCCAUCACUGAAAAUGGCACAUUGCCAGUAGUCAAGUAUUGGGAAAUAGAGAUACUAAACGAAAGAACGGAAAAUUGACGUCAGCAAGGAAGAAAUUCCAGCAGCGCAUCUGGCUCCAUGUGCACACAUCGCGUGAACUGACCGGCUUUGUCUUCAUUGACGGGUCAGCUUCUUUGACUUCUAAAACAUCCCAGAAUAUGGAGGCCACACUGCAGCCUCAAGAUUAGCAACUUUUACUGCAUCGAAGUAUGUUUGUAACAUGGAAAAUAAACUGUUACAAAAGA
This is a non-coding RNA of Dermacentor andersoni, 1016 nucleotides long. The record is from RefSeq and is a predicted model, not a curated record. Lineage: Eukaryota; Metazoa; Arthropoda; Arachnida; Ixodida; Ixodidae.